Long non-coding RNA from Stegodyphus dumicola, 343 nucleotides. RefSeq lists it as uncharacterized. The record is from RefSeq and is a predicted model, not a curated record. Lineage: Eukaryota; Metazoa; Arthropoda; Arachnida; Araneae; Eresidae.
AUUAAGUUCGGACAUUUAAGAAAUGGAAUUCUUGAGACGCAGUCUAGUUCAUCGCAGUACUAGCGAUGGCUACUUUAAGUAUCAUUCAGGCUGCUCCUGAACCUUGCAUAGCUGGUCGUAAGUGAUAAAAGAAGAACGAUGAAAAUUAAUUCUGGCUCUGAAAAAUGGAAUGAUAUCCGAAUAUGUUCUCCUAUAUAUGCAAAAAAUCUUAUAAACAGAAAAGAAAUGAUGGAAACGUUUGAAUUGUUUUCAAAUGUCAUGCUCACCAAAGUUUUAAAACAUUUUCCCGUUAUCUGAGUGUAUCUAAAAUAUCAUAAUAAAAUUUGUAAAUUUAUCUAAAAUA